This 381-nucleotide ribosomal RNA is filed under the name uncultured bacterium. Its description in RNAcentral is "bacterial SSU rRNA". It matches the Rfam family "Bacterial small subunit ribosomal RNA", at positions 28 to 412 of the family's 1533-position model. The record is from RNAcentral.
GACGAACGCUGGCGGCGUGCUUAACACAUGCAAGUCGAGCGGUAAGGCCCUUUCGGGGGUACACGAGCGGCGAACGGGUGAGUAACACGUGGGUGACCUGCCCUCAGCUCUGGGAUAAGCCUGGGAAACCGGGUCUAAUACUGGAUAUGACUCCAUGACGCAUGUUGUGGGGUGAAAGCCUUGUGCGGCUGAGGAUGGGCCCGCGGCCUAUCAGCUUGUUGGUGGGGUGAUGGCCUACCAAGGCGACGACGGGUAGCCGGCCUGAGAGGGCGACCGGCCACACUGGGACUGAGACACGGCCCAGACUCCUACGGGAGGCAGCAGUGAGGAAUCUUGCGCAAUGGACGAAAGUCUGACGCAGCGAUGCCGCGUGGGGAUGAA